AAUGUUUGAAUCACAGGAGAAACUCCUGACAGUUUAUGGCUUAUUGGAUAUUUGUAAAUCUACCUCUUGGUGAAAAAAUCUCUCUACAUUAAUGUCUGGUAUAGUACAGGCUUCAGUUAGUAUAAUUAGCUGAAAUGAAAAAUCAUACACUCAGGGAAAAAAAAUGUGGAAAUCAGGCUUGAUAGGCUCUGGUAAUCCUCAGGCUACCUCUUAUCUGAUCAUGUCCAGCCAUCAGACAGAUAUCUUCCAGACCUUGCUCAUUGUUUCUUUUUCAGUGUUUGUUUUUAUAAAGUUUUUAUAAUGACAUUGGUGUCGAUAUUCAGAUAUUUUUCUAGUAUUUGCCAUUAGCCGUGCAAGCUUUUUUUGAUGUGGCACUAGACAGAUUUAUAAAAUGUUUUACUUAUUCAAUAGUAAUUUGUCCCUGGAUUAUUACUACUUAGAUUCUGCUUUGUUCUGAAUGAUUCUUUCUCUAAUUUGUAUAUUCCUUGGCUCUUAACAUUUUUUAGCUUUUUAAAAAAUUUAUCAUCCUCCAAUAUCCCAUUUCUCUUUGCGUAAUAGCAGGUCUGAAAAGAAGUUCAAAGGACACAAAAGAAUUUACUACAGUGAAUAACAGUGGAAUAGUGACAGUAAGGAAAUACUGAAGGAGGUUUUUUCUGGCUAACAAGGAAAAUCUCUUGUUCAGCUUUCAUGGCUGUUUUGGAUUAAGCUUCUAGUGCAAACACUUUACUAGGAUGCUGUGGUAGACAUCUGUAAUCUGACUGUAUUUCACACUGACAAAUAUCCUAUUUGUUGUUGGGAUUCUUUUAGUUAAAUACUGUAGUUUUUUUUCUUUGCAAUUAAAAGCUGCAGUUCACUGGUCAGGUAACAUCAGCUUUUAGGUUUACAGUGAAAUACCUUUUUUUUUUCUGAAUUAUCAAUGUAGAAUUGGAAAACAUUCCAGAAACAGAGAUAAUAUAGUAACCAUUUUUUUAACAACCUUCUGUUAAGCCUGUGACUAUUUUUUUUUUAUUUAUUUAUUUAUUUCCACUAAUGAAACAGAUGUUCUGCCUUUCUAGUAUGUAAGCACCAGUUAAAAUUUACAGUAGCUUUCAGGGAAGGAAUGGUGGGUUUCAAGAUACCAUUUAUUUUUUUUUCUCCAACGUUUAUAAUGCAGUGCAUAAUUUCUCCAGUAUAUUUUACUUAUAUCACUGGAGGUGUUUGUUUAAGCAUCCCAAACUGUUAUGAAAUUUUGCAUAUAGUUUUACUGAGCUUUUUACCUCUGAUUGUAAAUUGAAUACAAUGUUGUACAACACAACCUGAAGGGUUCUGAUCUAGCCAUUUCUACUUACAAGCAGAAGACUAUCAUCAGAAGAACAGAUCUAAUUAUUUGUCAGGUUGUCAGAGUAGUAGGACAAGCAUUUUUCUUUCUUUUUAAAUGGGAGCUGUGUCUUUAAGUAUGAUGUCAAUUUACCCAAAGCGACUCUUAUACAUGUAACAAGAAAAAUGACAGCUUCAGUUAGAUUUACAGACAUUAUGUAACCAUUAAUAGGAGCAUAAAGAAUUGGGUAGCUAUUGAUACUGGUUUCUACAGAGUUUUACCAACUUACUUUGGGGUUUUAUUUACAGUUUGGUGAAUAUUGGCUGGUAUUGAAUAUAUGUUCUAACUUCUUGUAACCUGUCAAUUACAUUAGUGGAAAGAGCCAUAUUGCACAGGAUGAAUCUGGGAAGCAAGAAGGCUUCAGUUUGUCAUGUCCUGGUUGCUGCAUGUCUUGCCAAACACAACUUUCUAGAAAAAAAAAGGGAAGAGAUUGGCUCCUUUGUGGGAGAGGAUGGAAAUAUUCAGGGGAUGAUGUUCAGAAUGCAGAUUGAGAAAAAACAAUACAGUAUGAAUAAUUAUUGUCGUUUGCAACCAUAUGAUCCUGAGAAUCUUCUGAGGUAGAAGCAAAGAAACCU
This is a long non-coding RNA of Pezoporus occidentalis (night parrot), 1932 nucleotides long. RefSeq lists it as uncharacterized. The transcript has 3 exons. The record is from RefSeq and is a predicted model, not a curated record. Lineage: Eukaryota; Metazoa; Chordata; Aves; Psittaciformes; Psittacidae.